ACCUGCAGUUCUAUUCAGUUUUAGGACAGAGACAGAUAUGGACCUGUAUUGAAUUUGCUGCGGAAAUGGAUAUCAUUAAAAAAUUGUGUUUAAAUGAUGUAAAUAGGCAGAAUAGGCACAGCAAUGGACUAUGGACUUCGACAUCUUAACUUUUGAUCCAAGAUCAACCCUCCAGAUAACUUGUUCUGAUGUUCGGUGGGCUCUCCUUAUAUCCUACUUCAGGGUUUCCCAAACACGGUCCUGGGAUCCCCCUGGGGGCACGUUUUGUUUUUUGUCCUAACACUACACAGCUGAUUCAAAUAAUAAAAUCUUGAUGAUGCGUUGGUUAUUUGAAUCAGCUGUGUGGUGCUCCGGCAAACACCAAAACGGAUCAUUUGUUUCCAGUCUUUAUGUAACUGAUUGCUGUCUCCUAGUGGUGGUUUUAAACCACACUCAAGAUAAUAGGUUAAAGUAAAGGUUGUGUGUGAAAGCAGAUCAGCGCCAUCUGAUGUUUAUACUUAGGGGUGAGGUGCCUCAUUGCUAUUAUAAAUAGAAACAAUCUAAUGUCUUUCCAAAUGGCUUCAUCAUCUAUAAACUUGCCCUGAGUUAGAUGCGUUGCUUUUUCUGUUGAUAUGCUUGAUUGGUGUAUAUUCUAUCCAGUGUGUUUUAGAUUCUGUUGUAAAUGUUAGCUGACUGACGUCUGGAGAUUGUUUGUUAUAACAUACCAUAUCUCCGGAUGUUAGUGGUAUAUAAAGCCUAGCAGUUAAGAACGUUGGGCCAGUAACCAAAACGUUGGUUAGAAUCCCUGAGCCGAAUAGAUGAAAAAUGAAUCGAUGUACCCUUGAGCAAGGCACUUAGCCCUAAUUGCUCCUGUAAGUCACUCUGGAUAACAACAUUUACAAAAAUGUACAUGUACAUUUCCAACUCUCUCACGUGUUGGAUAUUUGUUUUGAAACUGGAAAAUGGCACAAGAAGAUGCACAAAGGUUGCCAUUUUUGUCUGGUGAGAUGAGCAAAGGGGCCACCAAACAACAUUUGAUUCAGCUAGCAAUCUUACUGGAGCUAAAGAAGUCCAACAAAAUGGUUCAUUUUAGUAUUAGAUUGAGGACACAAUUUCAAUGGAUUGACAAGUCAAUUAAAUCACAAACAACGUCAAUUUGGUCUAUUUCCGGCCAUGGCGGAUAUGUGCAGAGUUGAGCAUGAAGGGUCAAUCAUGGCAUUGUGUGUGAAAUAUCUUGCACUGGAGAUGAUGGUGCUCAAAAUGUCAACACAGGGCUGGGUGUCUUUCUACGUAGCCAGAUACCUGGUUUGGACCCAUUUUGGGAUGAGGUUUGCUUAACAGCACCUAAUGUAGCCUAUUACUUCCAAGAUAUCUAGCUGUUCAAUAGCCUAACAUCUUGGAUGUUCCGAUGCUCAGUUGGUAAAAUGCAUUGACCCAGUCCUAACUUCAGGAAGACACUGGUAUGAUGGCCAACCGCCCAAACAGGUUUGGGAACUACUGCUUUAUUAGAUGCCCCUAGUUGAUGUCACCCCUCAGAUAACACACUAAACAUCAAACUGUGGUAGUUGGGGUGUUGUUUAUUAGGAUCAAACGGUGGACGAUGGAGUUUCGUUUUUUUAGGAUCAAACUGGGAGAUGGGGGUUGUGAUAUUAGUUAGCCUAAAAUUGCUUAACCACGGUUUUCUUUCCAUCUCCAUCAUACACCUGUUUAUGAAGGAAGACAUUUGAAAGUUAUAUACACUGCUCAUAAAAUAAAGGGAACACUUAAACAACACAAUGUGACUCCAAGUCAAUCACACUUCUGUGAAAUCAAACUGUCCACUUAGGAAGCAACACUGAUUGACAAUAAAUUUCACAUGCUGUUGUGCAAAUGGAAUAGACAACAGGUGGAAAUUAUAGGCAAUUAGCAAGACACCCCCAAUAAAAGAGUGGUUCUGCAGGUGGUGACCACAGACCACUUCUCAGUUCCUAUGCUUCCUGGCUGAUAUUUUGGUCACUUUUGAAUGCUGGUGGUGCUUUCACUCUCGUGGUAGCAUGAGACGGUGUCUAGUUCCUGCAAGAGGAAGGCAUUGAUGCUAUGGACUGGCCUGCCCGUUCCCCAGACCUGAAUCCAAUUGAGCACAUCUGUUGCAUCUGUUGCACCACAGACUGUCUAGGAGUUGGCGGAUGCUUUCCACCACCUCAUCAGGAGUAUGCCCAGGCGUUGUAGGGAGGUCAUACAGGCACGUAUGGCACCUAUACCAGGCACCUUUGGAAAAGGUGCAAUGAAAGAUGGGGAGACCUCUGCAUCAUCAGAGGAAGACUGAGGAAGAUGACUCAAUUGACUGUUCCAUCAAGGCGUGUGAUAUUCCAAGAAUCAAUGCCACAUCAACCAGUGCAAGGGGUCCUGCAGAUGUUGACAAUGCAUUCAGAUGUUGACAAUGCAUUCUCCUGCUGUCCCAUAAUUAUCAAGGCAAGACCCAGAUGCAGACACAGGAGACCCAGAUGGUUGGAGUCUUAAAAUGUUUACAAACCAGAUCAGAGUCCAGGAGGUACAGUGGCAGACAGGCUCUUGGUCAAGGCAGGAAGAAUGGUCAGGCAGGCGGGUACAAAGUCCGGAAAACAGGCAAGGGUCAAAACCGGGAGGACUAGAAAAAGGAGAAGCAGGCGAACGGAAAACCGCUCGAUGACUUGGAAACAUGCAAGACGAAACUAGGACAGAGAGACAGGCAACACAGGGAUAAAUAAACUGGGUAAAACAAGCGACACCUGGAGGGGAUGGAGACAAUAACGAGGACAGGUGAAACUGAUCAGGGUGUGACAAUAGUAAUGAACGUGUCAGAACGAGGCAGGCAGGCUUUGUCAGCCAGUCGAAAUCAUGAAUCGGCUGGCAUCAUUUUGAUGGAUAUAUACAAAAAAAUGACAAUUUAAUAAAGGUUAAAUGAAACUUAUAUCAUUUACAGUUUUUCCAGCUUCAGUUUGAAGUGAUUGUGUUACUGUAGCUGUGUUGUUGGUUAGCUUUUCGGAACAACAGUGUCGUGACGAGUGAACACAUUUUCUAUGCCGAAAUCGCGCCUCAUUGUUGUUCAUCCAAAUAAAUGUCACUAGAUAACAGUUUAAGCAAAUUAAGCUACCUUGCUGUUAUUCUGACUGCACUGUUUGACAUGGCUGUAAGUUAGCCGUAGUUGGCUAGCUAGCAAGCAAGGGAUAAGGACGUUGCCAGCCAGUAUGGCAAUGUAACAUUUAGAACGAACGACUGACCAUAGAUAUAGAACCAAAAGACUGGGUCGCGUCCAUAGAUACAGAACAGAAAGACUGGGUCGCGUUUCUAGCAACGCUAGAUUAGUGUCGCGACUAUAUGUUGUGGAAGGAUGGAAUAGUAUGAA
Molecule: long non-coding RNA, 3343 nt
Organism: Oncorhynchus kisutch (coho salmon)
Lineage: Eukaryota; Metazoa; Chordata; Actinopteri; Salmoniformes; Salmonidae
Exons: 4
Source: RefSeq, a predicted model, not a curated record